GGAUGGGAGAAUAAGCUACGAAGAGUUUGCGGCAAUGAUGAAAACAGGAACGGAUUGGAGAAAGGCGUCUCGUCAUUACUCGAGAGGGAGAUUCAAUAGCCUAAGCAUCAAGCUAAUGAAGGACGGAUCUUUAAACCUAGGCAACGAAUAGUGAACAAAGUGAGUAAGCCAGCCGCAUUAGAUUAUUUUAGAGUUUUUCUCUCUCUCUCACGUCAUGUCCUCCACAUCAAGCAUUAAAGCCAAGAUAAGUCAAACAUCUUCGGACUCGGAAUUAGUCUUUCUUUUUGUAAAUCUUUCGUUUCUUAAUCUGUUUCUUUAUUUGUGGUGAUUCAUGCUAUCUGUGUCCUUUAUUGGUUUGUGGGCUGAGUUGUGGUAGAAAGGUUUAAGACAUGAGAAUCAAUGUUUGAUGUGUAGAAGAAGAAAAACGACCUUUCGGGUAAAUGAUGUUUUAAUAUGAAUCACUCCCAAGUAUAUUUUGCUGACAUAAGUUGCUUAAAACCCAUAAUUAGUGUUUUGGAUUAUGAAUUUAAACAUGUUUCAUAACCUAAAAGUAAGUGUCAACGUUAAGAAAAUGAAAGAGAUCAUCGAUGAAUCAUGAGGCUGUUUCCAAAUUCAACACGAAAUCUACCUAGUACCUACUUUCCUUGGUCCUGUUUGUUAGGGCAUAAACAUCACCAGCAACCCCUUACAUUAUUGACCUGCAAGGCAGUCAAAAAGUUCAAUCAUCGUAUCACAAAAUCUUUACUGAGAUGAAUCACUCAUCUUAUAGAAAACAAAGAAACAACAAAACUGUUUAGUAAACUCAUCGUUUUGUUUUUUAUUGGGCUUGGUUAUUAGGAUGGAACUUCUCAUUAUUCUAUUGUUGUGCUAUUCAUCGCUGCAUGUUUCUUCGUUGACCAGAUUCCUCAGAGUAAGUAGUAACUGUAAGAUUACAAUGAUGAAACAAAAUACGUAAUAAUGAUCAACAGAACAUCCAGAUGGUAGGGACGUAGGGAUUCAAGCAAGGAUGCCGGAGGAGGAUUUUUCUCUGCUUAAAAUGACAUGAAAAAGAAGACAGUGUGAUUUGAUUGAUUGGUCAGCCAGAGAGACUGUCAGAGAGAACGAGGGAGGUGGCUUGAUGAAGACUGGUUUCUUUGAUCUUUUAAAGAAGUCUAGUUUCUCUUGCUUUCUUUGUUUGCAUUUCAUGUUUCGUCUUGUAUAUUAUGUGUGUUUUGAUAUGAAUUUCUGAUAAAAGAGAAGCUGGUUCUCUCAUAAACCUAAGGAAUUCAGUUUUUGUUAGUUGAUGAAUCAUGGUUCUAUUUUCAUAUUUGAUCUCAUCAGGAACGGAUUGGAGAAAGGCGUCUCGUCAUUACUCGAGAGGGAGAUUCAAUAGCCUAAGCAUCAAGCUAAUGAAGGACGGAUCUUUAAACCUAGGCAACGAAUAGUGAACAAAGUGAGUAAGCCAGCCGCAUUAGAUUAUUUUAGAGUUUUUCUCUCUCUCUCACGUCAUGUCCUCCACAUCAAGCAUUAAAGCCAAGAUAAGUCAAACAUCUUCGGACUCGGAAUU
RNAcentral lists this long non-coding RNA (1546 nucleotides) under Brassica napus (rape). RNAcentral's name for it is "long non-coding RNA (BNAP_LNC001809)". The record is from RNAcentral. Lineage: Eukaryota; Viridiplantae; Streptophyta; Magnoliopsida; Brassicales; Brassicaceae.